UGUUGUCCUCCUUCGCUCCCUUUAACAGGGCCGACCUCCCACCCGCACACAAGCCCGCCCCUCCCCCGCCGAAGAAGAAGACCUGCGACAUGAAGGGACACCUGACUUCUGAGGACAUCCAGGUGGUGCACCUGGACAAGGACGAGGAGAUGCAGAAGCUUCCCCUCCAGCCUCCAUACUACGACAUGGCGCCCUCUGAGUCAACCCCCUUCACCGAUAAAAUGAACUCUGGCCCCCACAGGGACUGUGACGUCCAGUACGCUGAGCUGGACACCUCCGCCCUGGCCUCGUCUGUCGGCCCCCGCAGCCCGGCCCCUGGGGGCCCCGGGGACCUUGUCGAGUAUGCCACCAUCCAGCCUAGCUCUCACUAGCGCAUGCCUCUGUAGGCCUUUCCCCUCAGCAUCUGACCACCAGUGCUGGGAUCAUCGUGUUCGUAGAUGUAGAGAUGAUUGGGGAACGUCCAACUGUGGGCGGCGCCCAGAAGACGUUCUGAACCCGGCCCCGUACGUGACCUACCAGCCGAUCUGCUCCAUGGAAACCUUCUCCCAGCCAGCCCCACCACCGGCAGCACACCCCCAGCCUCCCACCUCCUUCCUGCCCCAACACCCCUACGCCCACCCCCACCGCCCUCUGCACCAGCAGCCUCCGGGCCAAGAGAUCUCCUACCCCCCCAACAUGGGCCACCCUGUGCCUGGUCCGCGAGCCCCCUUCACCUACUCCAGGGAGCAGUCGGUGUGAGGCGCGGUGACCCCCGCAGUAACCCCCCCCCCCCCCCCCCCCCCCACACACACCUCCGAGGAUCUACGCAACGACCAGCGGAACCGUGACUGCGACGCCUCCCCCUGUCUCCCUCCAACUCCUCCACACGUCGGUGUAGUGUGAGCUCAGUAUACGGGUGGUGUCUUUUAUAUGUGAGCUGUCUCCGUCCUCCCUCUGUGACCCCCCCCCCCCCCCUUGUCCCUACCUUGUGUGUCGUGCACUGCUUGUAUCACGGAAGGCGUAGCGUAUAGAAACACGACACCUAGUGCUGUUAGCCGUUAGACGCUGUUAUCUCCCCACCGCCCUCCUCCAACCUCCUCCACCCCUCUCCGCUGCUCCCUUGUGCCCGUGGGAUCCGGGUCCUCAUUCCCAACGCUACGUGUCUAACCAUGUACUGUGUUUGCCAUUCUUUUGUUUAUUCGGUCGCUUUUUCAAUUUCGUUUUUUAUUUGACUCACCGCGGCCGUGACCGCUUAUAUCCGUGUUCAUUGUUGCUUUUUUCCGUUGUUUUUUUUGUCGAUUAUAUGCUUGCUUCUUCAAGAAAAACUACAUAACGUACUGUAUUUGUGAUUUGGAUGUGUAAUCUGAAAAAAAUGAUGUAACUAUUAAUACUUUUUUAGAAUUGUUUACCUAUAAAUAGGACAUGGCCUGCCCCCCUUUUUCAUGAGUUAUUGGCAGAGUGGUCGGAAUUGGCAGUUACUCCCUUCUUCCCCUCGUCAUUAAAAAACUGCAGCCAUAUUUGAUUCGAUUUAGAUAGGUUGAAUUAUAAGAAAGACACGUUGUCCUCACCAUAAAAUAAGAACAGAUAAGGGCUAAAAAUAAGCAACUAUUUUUCCCUCUUACAUGACAGUAUAUUAAUAUAAUUAUUAUUAAUGUUAUUAUUAAUAUUAUUCAUAGCAGUAUUGUUAGUUGCCAAGGCUAGGAGCAUUCUAUUUUGCUAAUGUGUAUUUUUAGUCAUAUUAUUUUGUAUUGUUUUCCAUUUGCUUCCAUGCUAACGUUUACAUUCGACCGUAUUUGUUCAAGGGAAUGUACAGCGAAGAUUGGCAACAUGCUCAGCUAGUUUACAUUACUGCUUGCCACACGCUGUGUUUCUAAAUGGAGUUUACUGGAAGGUUAAUUAACGCAAGGGUCCUAGGUGGGAUUUUUUAUCGAGGGGGGGAACAGAGCCUCCUCUACGCAGGUGCAAUAGAUGAAUAUGACAAUCACUUUUUAGGGCUGCCCUAGGAAAACUUUGUUUUUCAUGGUUUAUUCAAGGUUUGUUUAGUUUUCAUUUAUUUAUUUAUUUUUUACUAAUUGCUCAAAAAGCCAACUUUUUUUUCCCAGGACAGCCCUCCCACAUAUUGAAAUGUUUUAUUUUAGGAUUGCACCUCUCAAAAGCCUAAAGAGUUGAACAAUAAUCCGCUGAAGAAAGAGCUUGCUACUGUAUUUUUCUAGAGAACACUUCCGUAUAGACUGUAUCGAUUGAGCUUUACAAAUAUAUAACACACACUGUGACUGUCGCUAUUAAACCAUACAUAAGCUAACUCUCCUACGACGAGCCAACUCUAACACACUGCCACCAACACACACAACACGUCCACGACACAUAACACAACUGCAUAAAUAACUGAAAGGUUCACACAUUUUCUUUUUGCCAUGUCAGGUUUGUGUAUAGGAUAAAAAAUGAGAAUACUUGUGUUUGUGCUCGAUGUGAAAGAUGUUUAAAAAAUGACAAGUAGAUUAACCCUUGAGAUGUUGAAGGUGUUAGUGUUUACUCUUGACGGUUGUAUGAAUUUGGGUAAAAAAAAUCUCCUUUUGCUCAUUGUUGUCCUGCGAUGGCUGAAUCGGUGUGCGAGUUCUGAGUGGAACCGGUUUCGUCCGGUUUGAACUGCAGCAUCGACAUGUUGUCUUGGUGUAACUGCUGUAUGAAAACACAAACACACAGAAUGCUUUCUUGUGACACAUUGUUAAUAACAACCUCCCUUAUUAUUAUUAUUAUUAUUACUAUCGUUAUUAUAAUUAUGACUAUAACUGUGAUUAAUAUUAUUACCGCUACUGCAUUCUUGGAAUGAAAUGUACUUCUAUUUAUUUCUAAAUUGUUUUGUCUGUCCUCAAUUGUGUUGACCUUCAUCUUUUUCUAUGAUUUUUGUUUAUAACUUUUCUUUUGUUUCAUGUUACUUUUCUUUUUCUAAAUAGUGCGUAUAUUUCUCUUGAAACCCUCAUCUGUACAUUUGAGUGGACGGUAAUCAUCUGAUGUAGCAGACACUACUAGAGCUGCGGUAGGAAAGAAAGUGUGGAAGAAUUUAACCAUUAUUUUUUACAUCCUGAGUUCUUUGUGUAAAUAUUAACAGUGUAUCUGGUGUGUUGAAAAAAAGAAACAAAAAAAAAGAACAAGCCAUGCAGGUUAACAUUAAACUUCACUAAUGAUCCAUGUAAUAUGUGUGGUGUUUGUGUCUUAAUCAUUCUAUCCACCAUCCAUCCAUCCAUCCACCCCCACCUGCUUUAGCAUGUAAACAUGUAUGCGCACACACACACACACACACACACACACACACACACACACACACACACACACACACACACACACACACACACACACACACACACACACACACACACACACACACACACAAUAUGACAGUGGAGUCUCAAUAUUCAUUCUAAACAUCCACCAUUCAAAAGG
This is a long non-coding RNA of Gadus morhua (Atlantic cod), 3420 nucleotides long. Lineage: Eukaryota; Metazoa; Chordata; Actinopteri; Gadiformes; Gadidae. The record is from Ensembl.